Molecule: long non-coding RNA, 537 nt
Organism: Oncorhynchus tshawytscha (Chinook salmon)
Lineage: Eukaryota; Metazoa; Chordata; Actinopteri; Salmoniformes; Salmonidae
Exons: 3
Source: RefSeq, a predicted model, not a curated record
AUCUUCAAGAUAGAAUACAAUUGGUCCGCUGUCUGCUGGAAAGGUUAUGACUGUGGAUGCAAAUGAUUUUCUCGCUAACCAGAACACGGGCCGAGGGUCACGGGAGGUCACUGCCUCUCGCUGUGUGCCGGUAGCAGACACAGACGGUUAAUGACCGGGCACAGCAUCAAAGAGCCAGGAUAUGAAAACAUCUGCUGAAAGACUCAUCAGUUCAACACCAACAUUCCAAACACAGGUGACUGCUUUCCUGUUCCUCAUGUUGUUAUUGUUUUAUGAAACGAGUCGUGGUUUUGAUUAACAUAGCUGACAGAUUUGCUUAGAUCUGACGUAGUUGGAUAUGGUCUCGUAACACAUGAGUCAUGGCAUCUGCAUUGCAUUUUGAAUUAGAUUCCUGUACAAGACAAAGUUUGCGCGUGCGUGCUUGCGUAGGUGCGUGUUUGUUCAUGUUGGUGUGAGGUCAAUAACUAAAGUGACAGGAGGUCAAACACAACAUAGGUUCUGCUGUAGGAGAGUUAUGUACAGUGGGGCAAAAAAGUA